Molecule: ribosomal RNA, 395 nt
Filed under: uncultured bacterium
Lineage: Bacteria
Description: partial 16S ribosomal RNA
Rfam family: Bacterial small subunit ribosomal RNA
Source: RNAcentral
AUACGUAGGUGGCAAGCGUUGUCCGGAAUUACUGGGUGUAAAGGGAGCGCAGGCGGGCGUGCAAGUCAGCUGUGAAAUCCAUGGGCUUAACCCGUGGGCUGCAGUUGAAACUGUAUGUCUUGAGUGAAGUAGAGGUAGGCGGAAUUCCGAGUGUAGCGGUAAAAUGCGUAGAUAUUCGGAGGAACACCGGUGGCGAAGGCGGCCUACUGGGCUUUAACUGACGCUGAGGCUCGAAAGCGUGGGGAGCAAACAGGAUUAGAUACCCUGGUAGUCCACACCGUAAACGAUGAGCACUAGGUGUCGGGGGAGCAAUCCUUCGGUGCCGCAGUUAACGCAUUAAGUGCUCCGCCUGGGGAGUACGUACGCAAGUAUGAAACUCAAAUGAAUUGACGGGG